RNAcentral lists this ribosomal RNA (1996 nucleotides) under gut metagenome. RNAcentral describes it as "bacterial LSU rRNA". It matches the Rfam family "Bacterial large subunit ribosomal RNA", at positions 1 to 2025 of the family's 2925-position model. The record is from RNAcentral.
GAAAGUAAAAAAGGGCGUAUGGGGAAUGCCUAGGCUCUUGGAGGCGAAGAAAGACGUGGUAAGCUGCGAAAAGCCUCGGGGAUUUGCAAACAAGAUUUGAUCCGAGGAUCUCUGAAUGGGACAACCCGGCAGGUAGAAGACCUGUCAUCCGGCAACGGAAGCCAACCCUCUGAACUGAAACAUCUUAGUAGGAGGAGGAAAAGAAAGAAACAUCGAUUUCCUAAGUAGCGGCGAGCGAACGGGAAGCAGCCCAAACCGUAUCUGUUACGGCAGGUGCGGGGUUAUAGGACUGCAAUAUUCAAGCAACGAUGAACUGGAACGGACUGGAAAGUUCGGCCAAAGAGGGUGAAAGCCCCGUACAGGUAAGUUUGUUGUGCGAUAGCAGUAUCCUGAGUAUGGCGGGACACGAGGAAUCCUGUCAGAAUUUGCCGGGACCACCCGGUAAGGCUAAAUACUCCCAAGAGACCGAUAGUGAACCAGUACCGUGAGGGAAAGGUGAAAAGUACCCCGAACAGGGGAGUGAAAUAGAACCUGAAACCAUACGCUUACAACCGGUCGGAGCGGCUUCGUGCCGUGACGGCGUGCCUAUUGAAUAAUGAGCCUACGAGUUACUAAUCACUGGCGAGGUUAAGUGCUAGGAAGCACGGAGCCGAAGCGAAAGCGAGUCUGAACAGGGCGGCCAGUCAGUGGUUGUAGACGCGAAACCUUGCGAUCUACCCUUGAGCAGGAUGAAGGUUGGGUAACACCAACUGGAGGUCCGAACGAAUAAGCGUUGAAAAGCUUCUCGAUGACUUGAGGGUAGGGGUGAAAGGCUAAUCAAGCUGGGAAAUAGCUCGUACUCCCCGAAAUGCCUUUAGGGGCAGCGUUGUAAUAAAGAGUCUACUGGAGGUAGAGCUACUGAUUGGAUGCGGGGGCUUCACCGCCUACCAAAUCCUGACAAACUCCGAAUGCCAGUAGUAUGAUUUACAGCAGUGAGCGGCCGGGUGCUAAUGUCCGGUCACAAAAGAGGAACAACUCAGACCAGCAACUAAGGUCCCCAAGAAUAUGCUAAGUUGAUCUAACGAUGUUUUGUUGCAGAGACAGCUAGGAUGUUAGCUUGGAAGCAGCUAUUCAUUCAAAGAGUGCGUAACAGCUCACUAGUCGAGCGACAGAGCGUGGAUAAUAAACGGGCAUCAAGCAUAUCACCGAAGUUCUGGACGCGAAAGCGUGGUAGGGGAGCAUUCCAUCGACGUUGAAGCCGAUCCGUGAGGAUUGGUGGAGUUUAUGGAAAAGCAAAUGUAGGCAUAAGUAACGAUAAUGCGGGAGAGUAACCCGCACACCGCAAGACCAAGGUUUCCUGAUCAACGCUAAUCGGAUCAGGGUUAGUCGGGUCCUAAGGGUAAGCCGAACGGUGAUCUCGAUGGACAAUCGGUUAAUAUUCCGAUACUAACAUACACCUCGAUGGAGAGACGAAGGAACGUAAGUGUCGCCACCUGACGGAAUAGGUGGUUAAAGGGCGUAGGUAAAGGAGCAGAUUAAGAGUUAGCUACUGCUGAGACCCGACAGUACGGAGCGGCUACGGCCAAUCCGAUAGUGCACCCAAGUAGACUUCCGAGAAAAUCUUCUAAGUUACAGUGUAUGUUACCCGUACCGUAAACCGACACAGGUGGUCGAGGAGAGUAUCCUAAGGUGCUCGAGUGAAUCACGGUUAAGGAACUAGGCAAAUUAACCCCGUAACUUCGGGAAAAGGGGUCCCUAUGAAAGUAGGGCGCAGCGAAAAGGUCCAGGCGACUGUUUAUCAAAAACACAGGGCUCUGCAAAUUCGAAAGAAGACGUAUAGGGCCUGACACCUGCCCGGUGCUGGAAGGUUAAGAGGGGAUGUCAUCGCAAGAGAAGCAUUGAAUCGAAGCCCCAGUAAACGGCGGCCGUAACUAUAACGGUCCUAAGGUAGCGAAAUUCCUUGUCGGGUAAGUUCCGACCUGCACGAAUGGUGUAACGAUCUGGACACUGUCUCAAC